AGGAGGGACUGGUGGGGUCGUGGGCGGCGUGCCCCCAUUUCUACACCUGGGGAAACUGAGGCACGGCCCAAGGUCAUACGGCAAGUUCACAACUCUGGGAGUUGCACCUCUGAGCCAAGAAGCAUUACUGCCUCAUCCUGUCACUCAUUCCUCCCAUAAGCACGUGCUGGGCACCUACUGUGUACCAGUUUCUGUUUGGGGUGGUGAGAACUGGACAGGAACAGACAGAAAAGAAGGAGAUGUUCUCAAGAUGAGAAAGUCCUCAGUAAAUGUGAUAAGUGAACACAGUCUGCUGUAUGAGAGGCACUGAGUGUGACUGAAAACGCACACGGGUUUGGGGUUCAGGGUGGCAGUGUGGGUGCAGGCGAGCCCCGCGGAGAAGGUAAAACCGAACCGUCCCCAAGCAGGUGAGGAGGCAGCGUGCAGAGACCUGUGAGGAGCGCACGUCAGCGUGAGGGACACCUGCGCACAGGCCCUGGGGCAGCGGCGAGGACACAGGGGAGGCAGGCAGGUCAGUGCAACUUACGUGAGUGCAGAGGGCACGACGCUGUGGAGAAAACGUGGGCGAAGGGGCGUGUUAGAGGCCGAAAGAAUGAGGGCCGUGAUCAACUCAGUACAGCACCGGGGGCCAUAGGAGUAAACAGCAAACUGUUCUCACAGAUGCAGAACGUUGGCAAACUGACAAACUGCGUCUGCUGCGCACAAGGGCUGCCGAGGGCGUCACCAUCCAGGCACGAGUAUUUCUUAUGAUUAGGCAUAACUGAAGCCUGCCAGUAACAACAUGAACCUGUGAUCAAUUAAAUAGCUGAUCAAUCCUUACCUCCUCCUCCCUGCUCUUGUUACCCAAUAAAUACAAAGGGCUGUAAAAGCUCAAGAAGCAGCCUUUGCUCAUUAAGAUCAGGGAGCUCUUUUCUCUUCUUCCUUUUUUUUUUUUUUUUUUUGAUGCAGUUUCACUCCUGUCGCCCAGGCUGGAGUGCAGUGGCGCGAUCUCGGCUCACCACAACCUCCGCCUCCCGGGUUCAAGGGAUCCCCCUGCCUCAGCCUCCCGAGUAGCUGGGAUUAGAGGCAUGUGCCCGCAUGCCUGGCGAAUUUUCUAUUUUU
RNAcentral lists this long non-coding RNA (1101 nucleotides) under Macaca mulatta (Rhesus monkey). RNAcentral describes it as "lncRNA (ENSMMUG00000064460.1)". Lineage: Eukaryota; Metazoa; Chordata; Mammalia; Primates; Cercopithecidae. The record is from RNAcentral.